GUGCCAGCAGCCGCGGUAAUACAGAGGGUGCAAGCGUUGUUCGGAAUUAUUGGGCGUAAAGCGCGUGUAGGCGGUCCUGCAAGUCGGAUGUGAAAGCCCUCGGCUUAACCGAGGAAGUGCGUUCGAUACUACAGAACUUGAGUACCGGAGAGGGUGGCGGAAUUCCCGGUGUAGAGGUGAAAUUCGUAGAUAUCGGGAGGAACACCAGUGGCGAAGGCGGCCACCUGGACGGCUACUGACGCUGAGACGCGAAAGCGUGGGGAGCAAACAGGAUUAGAAACCCUGGUAGUCC
Molecule: ribosomal RNA, 292 nt
Filed under: uncultured bacterium
Lineage: Bacteria
Description: partial 16S ribosomal RNA
Rfam family: Bacterial small subunit ribosomal RNA
Source: RNAcentral